UACGUAGGGGGCAAGCGUUGUCCGGAUUUAUUGGGCGUAAAGAGCGUGUAGGCGGCUAGAUAGGUCCGUUGUGAAAACUCGAGGCUCAACCUCGAGACGUCGAUGGAAACCAUCUGGCUAGAGUCCGGAAGAGGAGAGUGGAAUUCCUGGUGUAGCGGUGAAAUGCGCAGAUAUCAGGAAGAACACCCGUGGCGAAAGCGGCUCUCUGGAACGGUACUGACGCUGAGACGCGAAAGCGUGGGGAGCGAACAGG
This 253-nucleotide ribosomal RNA is filed under the name uncultured bacterium. Its description in RNAcentral is "partial 16S ribosomal RNA". It matches the Rfam family "Bacterial small subunit ribosomal RNA", at positions 524 to 776 of the family's 1533-position model. The record is from RNAcentral.